Molecule: long non-coding RNA, 1662 nt
Organism: Gambusia affinis (western mosquitofish)
Lineage: Eukaryota; Metazoa; Chordata; Actinopteri; Cyprinodontiformes; Poeciliidae
Exons: 2
Source: RefSeq, a predicted model, not a curated record
AUCACAGUGUCGCAGGACUGCUCGCUGCUGGAGUACUCGUCCGGGUCGCUGGAUAGCCUCAGCAAUGGCAGUUCGGACUCGGCGUCGCCGCGGUGAUGGAAAGAUCGUAGGACGCGCGAAGCAAUCUGGAUGGUGGAGAGGGUUUCGGAGAAAUCUCUCGGCGAGGCGGAGAUGUGAGCAAUCAUGGUGGUCCUGCAGUUCAUGUUGCCUAGCGACUCCCUUAGCAACAUGGUCAGCUUGCUGUCCCUGGUUACACGUAUAGAUGAGACGUGAGCAGUGAAGACAGGUUUGAAAUGCAUACAUGUGUACGACGCGACUGAGUGAGUUUUCAAACAGAAAUCCUUGUUUAUCUGACAGAUUGAAGUAAUUACACCUCCUUGAAAAAGUAUUCACUCCUCUUGUGUGUCAGUGUGUAAAGGGUGUAGUGCAGUUUGAUCUGUUUGACUAGGAAAGAGGCAUUUAUGCACCAAACAAUCGUCAAGCAAAAUAAAUUUAGACUUUCCAGGAAAUUUUUUUUUUUACAACUAAAGACCUGAAAAGUGUACAAGGUGCACUCCUGAUUCAAUAUUUUGUAAAACCACCUUAACACACAGUUACAGCUUCAGUUACACUUACAGCUCUGAAUAAUGAACCUGCUAUUACAAUAUUGGGUUUUUGGUCGUUAUCCGAUAUGCCGAUAUACUAAAACUCAUUUGGCCAAUAACUGAUACCAAUAACAAUAUUUUUUUUCCUAUACCUACUUAUUAAAACUAUAUGUCUUUCUCUACUGUGGAAUUAAAAUACUGCAUUAUCUUUGUCAAUUUAACCUGCUAGCAAAUGCUAAAAAGGAGGCUGAAGACGAUGCAACACUUUCAAUUUGCAUUGUUUAAUGUCAAAUUUAUUCAUGACAUCUGUUCUCUCUAAGACAAAGACACUCAAACAGUGCAGAUCUGACGUUGUGCUGCGUUGUCACUGGUUUGUCAUGUAAGAACAACGCCUUUUAUGAGUUAUUUUGACGGAAUGACUGAUGUCCGAUAUUAAUGGUCGAUACCGAUAUCAUGCUGAUAAUUGUGCAUCCCAAUAAUAACAAUAAUUAUUAUUGUAGCUGUGAUUAUGUUUUGGGCAAUUUCUGUUGCUGAAAGGUGAAUCUGCACCGUAGUGUCAAGUCAUCUGCAGGUUUUCCCAUCUAUUUCCUGCUCCUGCUUAAGAAAAGCAUCCCACAGCAUGAUGCUGCCAUAAUGUACAGUGUUAAUUUUCUUCCAUACUAUUAACUAUACAUAUUGACUUACAUUGGUACUGUCUUCACAUUCAGCAAUUUGAGUUUGUGACAAAAGGAAUGUAAACAUUUCAAGGGGUGUGAAUACUUUUACGAGACACUGUGCUUUUCACAAAUUUAAAUAUUUGUUGAAAAUAUAUGUUAAAAAACAGCUAAUUUGUUGGAAAAAUGAAAGACAGGCUGUCAGAAAACUCUCUUUUGAUAUUACACAGUCUAAUAUUAGAGUCUUCUGAGAGGUUUCCAUUAACAGAUGGUGGGAAGUAAAACUAGGCUGUGUGUUUAAGAGAAGACUUUCUCCUGGGUGGGCCGCUGUAAUCAUUUAUAUCUCAGAUUCGUGUGUGCAGCAGCAGGUUGACAGAGAACAGCUCCUCUGUGUCCCGUUAACUCAUGCUGUUGUCCUUUUUUUU